Rhododendron vialii is the source of this 5991-nucleotide long non-coding RNA. RefSeq lists it as uncharacterized. Lineage: Eukaryota; Viridiplantae; Streptophyta; Magnoliopsida; Ericales; Ericaceae. The record is from RefSeq and is a predicted model, not a curated record. The transcript is spliced from 7 exons.
CCCUUGUUUCAAUUUGUUUUUCAAUUAAUUCUGACGAGUAGAAGGGAACGCUAGAAAGUUGCACUCUCCCCUGCAAAUUGCUACCCAUAAAUCUGAUCUAGAUGUAAUUUCAAAGCUCUGAUCGGCCAAUUUCAGUCACGGGUUGUGUGGUGUGGAGAGUCCCGCCUACUUCAACUCUACCUUUUGGAGAGCUUACAUACCAGAUCGGCACCGGCUCUGAUUAUAUCAAGAGGGUUAUUCAGAAAUGAGCUCUCGGCUUUAUAUAUCACAAUAUCAGUGGCCAUAUACCAUCGCUACACAACUGAGAGCAGUAGUGAGUGAACCCUAUUUGGCCUACAUCGGAACUGAUGCAGCGAUGGGCGGCGGUGUCUGGUUGUGGGGUCUUCGGAUUUCGGCGACUGAGACUGAAGGUGGCGUACAUCCUUGUUCUCCGGCGUCCGGUGGUGUGGUUCUGAUUGGGUUUUAGAAAAUCACCAAACUUUGGGUGCUCACGGUGGUGUGGUUCUGACUCGGUUGGGUGCUCGCAGUUGGGAUCCGAUCUACACCUAGGCAUCCCGGUUGGGUCCUCUCAAGAACCAGCACCGAAGGGCUCUCGGGUAACUCAGUUCCUAGAAGCAUGCUUUGGACCUGAGUUCACCACCUUAGGAACAGUUCAAUCCAGCCUCUGGUUUGUUCGAUUUGUGCUGGAAAAUCACCGUUGACAAAGCCUUUGGUGGUGUGCCUAAAGGUAUACCCCGACCUUGUUUCCUGUGGUCAAGAGCAGGGUUAUUUCCGUGUUCAGUAUGGAGCUUUGCAGUUGCUUAUUUAAUGUAAAAUUUGUUGCUGGACUUUUGGGCCAGUGUACUGUUAGUAUUUGGGGUUUCAAUCUAGGUGCUGCAAACACCAACAUCAGAUGUAGUGUUGUUUGACACUGUGAUUCAGGCCCAGUUUAGUUACUGGGCUCAUUGCCCAAUUCGGGGCUCAAAUUGCCUAGUUUAGUUACUAGGCUCAUUGCCCAAUGUGGGGCUCAAUUGCUGUGCAACUUGUUAGAGCUCCAUUAAUUUCCAUGAUUCUUUGUUUUACUGGCUUGGUUCUUUAGCGUAGUGUGGUGUGACUGGGGCUAUCAUUGACUAGAUUUGUGGUCGUGCACUGAUAGAAAGGGGUAGCAUCGCGAGCUGUCAUUGAUUAGAUUGGCGUAGUGCACUGAUUAAAAUGGGCAGCUUGGUUUCACCUGCGGUUCAGGUGGCCACAUUUUGUGGCUCCUCUUUUUUUGUCCCUCUUUUAGAUUAUAGUGAGCCUACGGGAUUAGGUUGAGGGUGUAGUGGUCUGGAUGGAAUGGGUGUGGUGUGUAAGGUACUUGGAAGGGUAGCCUUGUCGAAUGCCGACAUCUCCAGUUUGAGCCUCUUCUCGGUGCCUUGUUCCUUUGUAGUAGUUGUUCUAUUAGAAGUGGGUAUUAUGCUUGUUACUCUGGUUUCGGUUGGAGUAUUAGUAUUGUGGUUUGCAUAUCCCAUCUCUGUAGUCUGUGGUGAUUGGUAGUUUUUUUUUUAUAGGGUAAAUCAGCUUGAAAAUAAAAAAGGCUAACCGAAUAUACAGUCUGCAAGGAGCAUACCCCAGGUGGAAAAAACAAAACAAAACAAAGACUAAGAAAAUUGAUACUCUAUGCCAAGUGGCUACAUGGAGUGGAUAAUAUUAAAAUCUAGCAAACUAAUGAGAUGAAGACAAAACAAAUAACAUCAAGAGAAGCCCCGAGAUACAUUUGUUUCCUACCCAUCUACAAAAGGGAUAUAGCAGUAUUCCAACCAAUGGGAGCAGUCUGGAGUAUUGAACAGCAUCCAUAUGAUUCUGUGAUACACAUGAACAAACAUGAACGACAAAUCCAUGGCAGAACCGCCACCAAUUAAGCAAUCUUUCAGCUUAGUGCAACCUUUCAGUUGCUGCAAAGGGUGGCAGCAGCUCCUCACUAAGCAACACCAAAACAACAAACUUCAAGUGCUAUUGAUCACAGUUGAAGGAACAACCAUGUGAUAUGAGCAAAACAACAGAACUAUGACAGUAGAACCCAAUUGUUGCAGUCUCUGAACAAGCUGCCACAGCAGCAGCAGAGAGCAGAUCAGUCCACCAACUUUGUGUGCCUACAUGAUGCACUGAACAGCUCAGCCACCUAACAAAGCAACCACCUUCUGGAACUUGAGUAAGGAUGAAGCUAAAGCUAGUGAUAUAAAUGAAACUCAUAAAAAGUAGCAAAAAGCAAAAGAGAAGAAAAGCUAGGGACAAGCCCCCUAGAAAGGCUUAAACAACCUAAGGGACAACCCCCAAGGGUAGGUACAAAACAUUAAAAGGAAAAGUGCAACCUGUCCAUGGGACACUCCCCACGGAUAGCACAAAUACAGGCAAUCUACUAGAUCAACUAUCAAUCACAACGGUAGUAGUAGAAUAAGUGCAGCAGCUGUCGGGUAUAAAAUCCCCAGCACAUUGAGGUACCUUGGCCUUGAAACAUACCACAAAGAUAGGGACUGAAGCAAAAAUGAACAAAUCCUACUGCUGAAGCCACAAACAGCAGGUGAAAGUAACUAUUGCUGAUAUGAGUAUCAAUUAUGAAAAGCUGCACAAGGCCCUAAACAGCAAGCACAACAGCAGAACAGAACUGAUAGCCUGCCCUCAACAGAAAACGUUUGCAGCCGUAGGAUACACCAUCCUAGCUCAAUAUUAGUGCCAUAGCAGAAACAGUAACAGUAACAUAACAGAAGCAUAAACUGUAGCACAAAAAUGCUACACACACUGCAUUCUAGAGAAAACUGAAACAGAACAAAAUAGGCCUAUUGCUUUAUCUGUUCACCUUCUAACUCCCUCGAAGCCUAUCUCACCAAAAUUCUAAAAGCAAUAGGAAGGACCUUAACUCCCUCAACUUUCCCUUACAAAAAGACUCCCACUAACUAUUACCUCCACUCUCAAAAAAUUUGGGCUAAAGUACACAUCUCACAGGAUCAAAUAUAUGCUAGCAUGCACAAAUCAAAGGGAAUAGGCAAAGAAAUGAGAUUUCCAUAGCUGUAUUCACCUACAGCAGCUGCAGUAACAUACUAAGAGUAGAGAUUAAGGUAAAUACCUUUUAAGUAGGAGUAUUAGCAGUCAUGUAUCCUCCUUUGUAACUUGCUAGCCACCUUAAAGGAUGCCAAUACAGUGAACAACCUGCUCAUUUGGAUCACACAACCAUUAGAAAUAUCAACAGAUGCAGUAAUUUAGCAACAGUAUUUAGCACAGUAAUCUAACUCACAGCAGUGCUCCAUUCAUUUACAAUCGACUCUGCUUGUGAAUGAGGCAAAUUAGAAAGUGAUAAAAGCCUUGCUUUCACCAUAGUGCAAAUUUUUUGAACAACUAUCUCCCAAGUACAGAAUUGAUUUUGGAACUUCCUCAAGCUUCUCUCAAUCCAAGAAUGAUAAACAGUUACUGUAAAGCCCAAUCUAAUGAUUACACUUUUGAGAGAUUUGCCCUUAACAUUUGAUAACAGAGUUACCCAGUCGGCCCAAGAUCUAGUAGGCCAUGAAGCAUGUAGUUUGGCCUGAAUGGUAUCCCAUACCUGCUUGGUGAAUGGGCAGUUAAAGGAGAGAUGGUUGUGGCUUUCGCUUCCCUGCCACAAACCACAUUGUGGAGGAAUAUUUAGACCAAAUGACACAAGUCUAUCAGCAGUGGCAAGCCUAUUCUGAAUGGCAAGUCAUGUGACAAAGCUACAUUUUAGUAUGUGAGCAGAGAACCACACUAUCUUAUGCAACAAGACCAUAGGAAAGGGAGUUCUCAAUUUGUCCCACAAAGAGGCUAUUGUGAAUUGCCCAUUGGAAGUAAGAGUCCACCUUGUUUGAUCUGCCCCAUUCAACUUGGACUGAAUAAGAAGGGGCAGAGUGUUUCUCACCUCAUUUAGAUCAAAUGUUUGGGUAAUGGGGAACACCCAAUUUGAAUCCUUACACUACAACAAAUAUGACAAUUCAUAGCGUUAAUCUAUAGCAUUUUUUCAAGAAAGCUAUCUAUUCCCCAGGAAAAUGUGCGCCUAUUUGUUCGCCCGCUAUCUUUUCUCCGGAAAAAUGCCCGCCUACUUUUUCGCUAACAUUUUGAAUGAAUCACAUUCACUUAAUCAACCUCCAACCCCCAAUUUCUCUCUCUCACACACACACAAAUGAUGAAUCCGAAGACAGUCAAGCAGAAAUCCUAUACAUCUUCGCCUAUCUUUGCUCCUAAUAAACAAGCCCUAAAUCACAGUCCAACAGAAACGCAGUUUCAAAACUGUGCCCUUCAUUGACUUCUAGAUCUGGUUCUGGUUCUUUCUUCAGAGCAAACGAAGAGAAAUCUCUGAGUGUUUGAUAAUAUGCUUGAGUCAAAUUUGGUUCUUCAAUAACAUAUAGACCCAUAAUAGAAGGGGCAAAAUCAUUUGUGGUUUUCUGUCCAGAUUCAUUCUUCAACUACUCUGUUGCGCGGCUUGCGCCCACUUGGUUGCCCCGAUUCUGAGAGUUCGAUGCCGUUAACGCACUUCUUCGCCAGAGAAUUAUCUAUUUGGACUCCCACAGCAUUUUACAGUUGCAUUUUAAUUAGAAGAUUAGAUAUUGAAUGAAUAGGGAAGAAAGGUCCUGCAGUAAUUUACUUGCAGAUAAAGCUAAAUGGGCUUUUACACAGUGACGACAAUUGUGCUCUCAAGGUUUAAUCUCGAUGACUUCAAAUAUUCAUUGCCUUUAUUUAUCUGCGUCUGAUAUAUAUACUUCCUUCUUCUUCCUUGAUUUAACUCAGCCUGGGUACAGGGUUCAAUCUUGAAUUUGUUUCGAUUCUCUUUUGUUGUUCUCAUUCCUGAAUCUUUGAACUGAAAUUACCUUUCUAUUCUUCCUCCUCUCCUAUCCUUGUCCACUUUGUAUGUCUUUGGCAUUUGUGCAAGUAUGGUGCAGUUAGGUGGAUUAGUAAUGGUUAAACCCCCCUUUUCCCAAAGAAAUUGGAGCCCAUAUAGACUAUUAUGUGUUUUAAAUUCUGUUGCUAUACGUCACACGCUUCACCAGGUGCUUCUCAAGGUAAACAAUGACUACUUUAUAGUUUGCUCGAUGCAAUGCAAUCUCUAACAUCACAAGCUGUUGUAAUUGGUGUGUUGGCGAUUGAAUACCAUAGAGACAUGAGUUGGGGAAUGCUACUGCACGACAGGUGUUGCCAUGUAUGUUUUCAAUAACAAGAAAUGUUAUGAUAGGAAACCAAUUAUAGUGUUCGCUGAGAAGAAGAGGAGGAAACGCUUGCGCCUAACAUCGUUCUCUUAUAUUCCUGUAUGGGCAGAAAACUCAUUUUGCUCUUGCCAUUGAAGCUCCGGGUGGAUGGCUUAUGGAGAAGGAAGCAAAUCAAGCUAUAGUGUUGACUGUACUCCAGAAAAUGGAUGAAGUUUGUAGAGCCUCAACGUCGAGAUUAGUCAAAAAUAAAAUAAAAUGAAAGACGCUUCAAAUGAGGAAGAAAGGCUAAAGCUGCAGGCAACCUGAUACCAUCAAGUCACUGCAUUGGAAGGAUUUUGUGAAGGAAAAGACAAAUUCAAGGCAACCAAAUUUUAAUCUUCUAGGCGAGGAGGAAUUGGAAUAAGGUAAUGCCUGCUUUUGUUUGCUUGGUGUGGAUGUCUAUUAUAGCUCUUGCUGCAAGUGUUUUUCUUCGGACUUCUACUAUGUGUUGCAUCUUUUCGGGGAUGAUUUUUGUUGCUACAACUUCAACCUACGGGCAUGUUUCUCAUAUUUUGGAGGGUUUCAAGUAGCCCAUUUAUGUGGUUGGCUUUGGGAGCAGAAAGGGUAUAAACUCGGCAAAGAAGUAAGCUUCAAGUAAGCGGAAUGAGAUGGUUGGCCUAGUGCAUGGUUAUAUUUUCAGGAAAGUAGAAUUACAUUAGUUAUUUUUCAAUGAGUCCAAUUAGUUGGACUCUUUUAUGUAGUUUUUAUUGGGAAAUUAUUUCCCAAGCUAAUGUAAUGAAUCUUUAUUCAAUGGUUGAAUUGUUUAUUGUAUAUUGACAUUUGGAUA